RNAcentral lists this unclassified non-coding RNA (2862 nucleotides) under Portunus trituberculatus (swimming crab). Its description in RNAcentral is "uncharacterized oxidoreductase ZK1290.5-like, transcript variant X7". Lineage: Eukaryota; Metazoa; Arthropoda; Malacostraca; Decapoda; Portunidae. The record is from RNAcentral.
CCUGUGAUGUUUGUGAUGUCUUGUGAUGUCUUCUUCCUACAUGAGCAGUUAUCUAAACAGAUGGCUGAUGUGUAUACAAACCCAGAGAAGCAUGUUGUCCUCAGCAACAAUGUCAAGAUACCCAUUCUUGGCUUAGGGACGUCCCAUGAUGGCGGCUACAGCCAUGAGGCAGUGGUGUAUGCACUCAAGAACUGUGGGUAUCGGCACAUUGACACAGCAAAGCGCUAUGGCUGUGAGAGGUACAUUGCCCAAGCAGUCAAGGCUUCAGGUGUGCCUCGUGAGGAGAUCUUCCUUGCCACCAAGUGCUGGCCCACAGACUAUGGUGCUGCCACCACCAAGGAAGCCUUUUUGGGCUCGUGUGAAAGACUGGCUGUGGAUUACUUAGACAUGUACUUGAUGCACUGGCCUGAGGUGAGCUCAGGGGUGCAGAACAGGAAACAGCUACUGCAGGAGACGUGGCGAGCUCUUGAGGUGUUGUUAGAUGAAGAGCGGGUCAGAGUGAUUGGUGUCAGCAACUUCCUGGAGCGGCACCUGGAGAUGAUCCUGGAGGAGUGCUCAGUGGUGCCACACGUCAACCAGUGUGAGUUCCACCCGUUCAACAACCCCAAGGCACUUCGCCACUUCUGUGCUGACAGGAAUAUACAGUUUGAGGGCUUUUCUCCACUUGCUAAGGGUUUGGCCCUCAGGCAGCCCAGUGUGAUCGCCAUUGCUGGGUGGCAUGGGAAGACUCCCUCUCAGGUGCUUAUCCGAUGGAGUUUGCAGAGUAACGUCCCCUCCAUCCCAAAAUCCACUAAGCUUGAACGUGUGAUGGAGAAUUCAAAGGUGUAUGACUUUGCUUUAACCCAAGAGGACAUGACGACUCUGGAGAACAUGAAGCAAAGUCUGACCUGUGUGGACCGAAGCUCCAUACAGACCAAGAUAGACAAUCCUUUGCCUGACGGGUACAAACUAAAAAUAGUCAAGCCUCCGCUAGAACCUUGAAAACUGAUUUUCUUUUUCUCGUCUUUUCUCUUCCUCCUUAUUCAUGAUCAAGAUGUGUCCUCAUGACUUCACACACUUAGAGAAGGUCUUGUUCUGGAAUGACUAGCAGGUAUACCAUGGAAUUCUGCGAGAUGUACUACUGAAAAGGAUCCUUUCAGCAGCAUCUUUAGCUAAGGAACACAAGAAGUUGUCUGGCAAGUAUGAACCAUUGUGGACAUGAUGGGAAUUCAGUGCUUGACCAAGGAAUCCUGGAGCUAGUGUUAAAACAGGUUGAGACCAGAUCUGCAGAAUUAUGGCAGCUAGCAGUUGCAACAUGACAGCAUCCCAGCCUGUCCUAUGCAUCUCAUCCAGAAUUUCUUGAAGCACAGAAUGUCUCAGGUUGGCUAAGCUCCCUACUUGCCAGACAUGUCUCCUUGUAAUACACAGCUGUUCAUUCCUUGCAGCUGAGGAUGUUGCUGAAAACCACUAAUAUAAAAACAGAGGUAACACUGUAUUAAGAUGCAUCUGGUAGCCAUUCCCGAACAGGACGUACAAAAAUACCAAUGGAAAGACUGAUGGGUAAAGCAUCUCUUCUGUUGAGUAAAGUGUAAAAUUUAAUCUUUUUUUGUCCACUGGCUGGAGGCAGUUACUUUUGAACAGACCUUACAUAGAGAACAGCUGCUUCAUAUAUACAACAUCUGUUUAAGAAAAUAUCUGACUUAAAGGCCAAGGGAUGAAAGAGUUGCUUAAGCUCUUCAGUAUCAAGACACAUUUAUAUAUUCAGUUUGCUUACUAUUUGGUGAUUUUAUACAGCUUUGGAAACUCAUGCAGGGGAUUAAAAUAGUGAAAAUUCUGGCCAUUAAUCUCUGACUUCCAUGGACCCUUCAUAACAUCAAUAAAAUGGUCUAAUGGUACACAAAUUUCCAGGUAAAGAUGUGUCCUACUAUUGAAGGGGAAGUUUGAGUUUUAACUCCUUCACUCCUUCAAAGUGUUUGCCUAGACUUCACACACUUCACUCCUUCCUGGUUCUCCUAUUGCUGCAAACAUUUUUGUCCUCCAGAAUGGCUCUCUGAAUGAAGGGGGCCCCUUUCAGCAGCAUCUCACACAACCAUAUUUCUCACACACAAGGAGUCAUCUGGAAGGUGGGUAGCCUUGUGAACUUGAGUAAUUUGGUGCUUGGCAAGAUGUAUCGAGUCAGUUUUGAGGAAAUGGCCAAGACUGUACCUGUGGGAGUUGGACAUGUCAUGACGUGAUCUGUUCAGGUUGGCAAGGCUUCCCAUGUUCCAGAAGAUGGUUUGUUGUGAUUCCUGCUGCCUUAGAGUCUGAUGCUGUUUAAAAGUUCUGAUCUGUGCAAAAUGUGACCAUCCAAUUCUGGAAAGGUUUUACAAAAUGCAGCAACAAAAGGAGCAGCGAGUGAAGAGUGUGUAGUCAUGAUCGCCACUUUUGUCCAUUGGCCUAAGGAUGAAUAUUUUUUGAAAUUUCUCUUACUGCAAACUGAAAUAAAAAUAAAUCCUGAUCCUUUCUAUUUUUGUUAUGAGGUUGAUCUAGAAAUGAAGCAAACUUGUAGUCUCCUACAAAUACAAACAUUUAGAUUGUUUAGUUUGCAAAACAAGAAAUCCUUAAAGCACAAUUGAUUAUGCUGCCCUCUUCUUCAUUGAAAACUUUAAUGAUCUUGUAAUUAAUAUCAGGCACAAAUUAUUGUAUUUGUGAAUGAAUGAAUUAUUCAAUAUUUUAUGUAUGGUCCAUAGAUAUAAAAAUCUAUACUACUUUGUAUUUCACACUACUGUAGCUUUUCAAAUUUUGGAAGAGAGCAGAUUGUGGACUCACUGAUGCUGAAAUAUUUAAAAAUCAGAUGUUAGCUCUGUGUUGCUAUGGUUAUCAAUAAUUAAAAAGGCAAUUUUU